CAGCAGCCGCGGGAAUACGGAGGGUGCAAGCGUUAAUCGGAAUUAUUGGGCGUAAAGCGCGUGUAGGCGGCUUGGUAAGUCCGUUCUGAAAACCCAGGGCUCAACCCUGGGAGGCGGAUGGAUACUGUCAAGCUCGAGUCCGGAGGAGGCGAGUGGAAUUCCCGGUGUAGCGGUGAAAUGCGCAGAUAUCGGGAGGAACACCAAUGGCGAAGGCAGCUCGCUGGGACGUGACUGACGCUGAGACGCGAAAGCGUGGGGAGCAAACAGGAUUAGAUACCCCCGUAGUCCCUGUCUCUUAUAC
RNAcentral lists this ribosomal RNA (301 nucleotides) under uncultured bacterium. RNAcentral's name for it is "partial 16S ribosomal RNA". It matches the Rfam family "Bacterial small subunit ribosomal RNA", at positions 509 to 807 of the family's 1533-position model. The record is from RNAcentral.